This 71-nucleotide small nucleolar RNA is filed under the name Pogona vitticeps (central bearded dragon). RNAcentral describes it as "Small nucleolar RNA SNORD59 (ENSPVIG00000014950.1)". It matches the Rfam family "Small nucleolar RNA SNORD59". From Rfam's summary of the family: U59 belongs to the C/D class of snoRNA which contain the C (UGAUGA) and D (CUGA) box motifs. Most of the members of the box C/D family function in directing site-specific 2'-O-methylation of substrate RNAs. The record is from Rfam by way of RNAcentral. Lineage: Eukaryota; Metazoa; Chordata; Lepidosauria; Squamata; Agamidae.
CCUUCAAUGAUGAGUAUAUCCAUGACUUUCGUUCUUCUGAGAUUACUGAAGCAAUUCUCUUUCUGAGAAGG